This 225-nucleotide unclassified non-coding RNA is filed under the name Hevea brasiliensis (rubber tree). Lineage: Eukaryota; Viridiplantae; Streptophyta; Magnoliopsida; Malpighiales; Euphorbiaceae. The record is from RNAcentral.
UCUUGUUUUUGCUCUGGUAAAUGGAGCAAGGAUAAUAGAGUACUAUCAUUGGGAACACUUGCGUGUAGUAUUUGGUAGGGAUUGAAAUUUUAAUGAACAGGUGAACACCAUGGGACUUGCUAGUUUAUUUUUGUAAUGAUCAUUUUGAUUGUUACACAGUUAUGUUGCUUCUGUUAUGGAUACGAGGAAGCUGCUUUACUUUAUGGUGUUUAUUUAUUAUUUUUC